CUCGGAUACCGUAGUAACACUAGAGCUAAUACGUGCGUAAAUCCCGACUUUUGGAAGGGACGUAUUUAUUAGAUUUAUGGCCAGCCGGGCUUGCCCGACCAGCGGUGAAUCAUGGUAACUUGACGGAUUGCAUGGCCUUCGUGCCGGCGACGUGUCAUUCAAGUUUCUGCCCCAUCAGGUUUCGACUGUAGUGUAUUGGACUACAGUGCCUAUAACGGGUAGCGGAGGAUUAGGGUUCGAUUCCGGAGAGGGAGCCUGAGAAACGGCUACCACAUCCAAGGAAGGCAGCAGGCGCGCAAAUUACCCAAUCCCAACUCAGGGAGGUAGUGACAAGAAAUAGCAAUGCGGGGCUUCAUGCUCUGCAAUUGGAAUGAGUACAAUUUAAAUCACUUAACGAGUAUCAAUUGGAGGGCAAGUCUGGUGCCAGCAGCCGCGGUAAUUCCAGCUCCAAUAGCGUAUAUGUAAGUUGUUGCGAUUAAAAAGCCCGUAGCUGAACCUCGGGCAACCCUGACGGUCCGCGAUUCGUGAGUACUGUCGUGGGUUGUCUUUCUGGCAAGACCGUAUCUCUGCGUUAACUCGCCGGGAACGGCGCUUGCCAAGGUUACUUUGAGUAAAAUAGAGUGUUCAAAGCAAGCUCGCGCUCUGAAUACACUAGCAUGGGAUAACACGACAUGACCGAUGGUCUAUCUUGUUGGCCUGUAGACCUGUUGGUAAUGGCUAAUAGGGACGGUCGGGGGCAUUCGUAUUUCGCUGUCAGAGGUGAAAUUCUUGGAUUUGCGAAAGACGAACUACUGCGAAAGCAUUUGCCAAGGACGCUUUCAUUAGUCAAGGACGAAA
Molecule: ribosomal RNA, 837 nt
Filed under: Cladophora opaca
Lineage: Eukaryota; Viridiplantae; Chlorophyta; Ulvophyceae; Cladophorales; Cladophoraceae
Description: SSU rRNA
Rfam family: Eukaryotic small subunit ribosomal RNA
Source: RNAcentral